GAUGAACGCUAGCUACAGGCUUAACACAUGCAAGUCGAGGGGAAACGAUAGAGAAAGCUUGCUUUUUCUAGGCGUCGACCGGCGCACGGGUGAGUAACGCGUAUCCAACCUGCCCACCACUUGGGGAUAACCUUGCGAAAGUAAGACUAAUACCCAAUGACGUCUCUAGAAGACAUCUGAAAGAGAUUAAAGAUUUAUCGGUGAUGGAUGGGGAUGCGUCUGAUUAGCUUGUUGGCGGGGUAACGGCCCACCAAGGCGACGAUCAGUAGGGGUUCUGAGAGGAAGGUCCCCCACAUUGGAACUGAGACACGGUCCAAAACUCCUACGGGAGGCAGCAGUGAGGAAUAUGGUCAAUGGACGAGAGUCUGAACCAGCCAAGUAGCGUGCAGGAUGAGGCCCUAUGGGUUGUAAACUGCUUUUAUAAGGGAAUAAAGUGGGAGUCGGUGACUCUUUUUGCAUGUACCUUAUGAAU
RNAcentral lists this ribosomal RNA (472 nucleotides) under uncultured bacterium. RNAcentral's name for it is "bacterial SSU rRNA". It matches the Rfam family "Bacterial small subunit ribosomal RNA", at positions 28 to 487 of the family's 1533-position model. The record is from RNAcentral.